RNAcentral lists this transfer RNA (69 nucleotides) under Falcolipeurus marginalis. RNAcentral describes it as "tRNA-Thr". The record is from RNAcentral. Lineage: Eukaryota; Metazoa; Arthropoda; Insecta; Psocodea; Philopteridae.
AACCCAGUAGUUUAUUUUAUAGAAACAUCAUUUUUGUAAAAUGGAAAAGUAAUUUUAUUACCUGGGUUU